Molecule: non-coding RNA, 299 nt
Organism: Otolemur garnettii (small-eared galago)
Lineage: Eukaryota; Metazoa; Chordata; Mammalia; Primates; Galagidae
Source: Rfam
GCUGGACACAGUGGUGCGUGCCUGUAGCCCCAGCUACUAGGGAGGCUGAGACAGGAGGAUCACUUGAGUCCAGGAGUUAUGGGCUGUAGUGCGCUAUGGCAAUCGGGUGUCCACACUAAGUCUGGCAUCAAUAUGGUGACCUCCUGGGAGUGGAGGGCCACCAGGUUGCCUAAGGAGGGGCGAACCAGCCAGGUUGGAAACGAAGUAGGUCACAACUCCCAUGCUGAUAGGUAGUGGGAUCAUGCCUGUGAAGAGCCACUGCACUCCAGCCUGGGCAACAUAGUGAGACCCCGUCUCAA